CAGCCCUAGACUCUGAACUGCCCUUGCAGCAGUGCACAUUUCCUCACUCUGCCCCAUCAAUGUGCCUCAUCCAUGAAAUAGAGAAGACAUCUCUACAGGUG
RNAcentral lists this small RNA (101 nucleotides) under Chelonoidis abingdonii (Abingdon island giant tortoise). RNAcentral describes it as "TUC338 (ENSCABG00000015805.1)". Lineage: Eukaryota; Metazoa; Chordata; Testudines; Testudinidae. The record is from RNAcentral.